GGCGGUGUGGCUCAGGAGGUAGAGCGGGUUGUCCAAUAACCAAAGGGUUGGCAGUUCAAAUCCCGCUCUGUCU
Non-coding RNA from Gymnothorax javanicus (giant moray), 73 nucleotides. Lineage: Eukaryota; Metazoa; Chordata; Actinopteri; Anguilliformes; Muraenidae. The record is from the annotation of a GenBank genome assembly.